AUUGAACGCUAGCGGGAUGCCUUACACAUGCAAGUCGAACGAAGUGGCGAACGGGUGAGUAAUGUAUCGGAACGUGCCCCGUAGCGGGGGAUAACUACGCGAAAGCGUAGCUAAUACCGCAUACUCUUGGCGCCGCCGGUAUCGGGUUAGCUAGUUGGUGGGGUAACGGCUCACCAAGGCGACGAUCCGUAGCUGGUUUGAGAGGGCGACCAGCCACACUGGGACUGAGACACGGCCCAGACUCCUACGGGAGGCAGCAGUGGGGAAUUUUGGACAAUGGGCGAAAGCCUGAUCCAGCCAUCCCGCGUGUGCGAUGAAGGCCUUCGGGUUGUAAAGCACUUUUGGCAGGAAGGCGGUACCUGCAGAAUAAGCACCGGCUAACUACGUGCCAGCAGCCGCGGUAAUAC
This 407-nucleotide ribosomal RNA is filed under the name uncultured bacterium. RNAcentral's name for it is "partial 16S ribosomal RNA". It matches the Rfam family "Bacterial small subunit ribosomal RNA", at positions 30 to 526 of the family's 1533-position model. The record is from RNAcentral.